RNAcentral lists this ribosomal RNA (345 nucleotides) under uncultured bacterium. RNAcentral's name for it is "bacterial SSU rRNA". It matches the Rfam family "Bacterial small subunit ribosomal RNA", at positions 8 to 350 of the family's 1533-position model. The record is from RNAcentral.
AGAGUUUGAUCCUGGCUCAGGACGAACGCUGGCGGCGCGCCUAACACAUGCAAGUCGAACGAGAGAGAGGAAGCUUGCUUCCUCAAUCGAGUGGCGAACGGGUGAGUAACGCGUGAGGAACCUGCCUCAAAGAGGGGGACAACAGUUGGAAACGACUGCUAAUACCGCAUAAGCCCACAGGUCGGCAUCGACCAGAGGGAAAAGGAGCAAUCCGCUUUGAGAUGGCCUCGCGUCCGAUUAGCUAGUUGGUGAGGUAAUGGCCACCAAGGCAACGAUCGGUAGCCGGACUGAGAGGUUGAACGGCCACAUUGGGACUGAGACACGGCCCAGACUCCUACGGAGGCA